Molecule: long non-coding RNA, 643 nt
Filed under: Brassica rapa (field mustard)
Lineage: Eukaryota; Viridiplantae; Streptophyta; Magnoliopsida; Brassicales; Brassicaceae
Description: long non-coding RNA (BRAP_LNC008555)
Source: RNAcentral
CUUCGAAAACGUCCGUCUCAUCAAUCUAAGACAUCUUCUAACUAUGGUCGAGCAACUUAUUCGACUCAUAGUUCACUCACGAUCACUUCUUUGCCCACUUCGUACUUCAAAACUUCUCGAUCGCCCGCGACUCGACCACCACAAAGGUACUCGACCAUUCUCUCUCCUUUUUUUUUAACGGGUUUCUACAUUCUCCCCCCCUUAAUAGAAUUCGUCCUCGAAUUCUUGGUUGCGCAAUUGCUCGUCUUCACAACAUUCUCCACUCAUCUCCAUAACCUCUUUACGCUGUCCACCACGGUUCCUUGAGUGUCCUCUUCAAGGCCUCCACAAUUGUCUUCAUAUCUCAUCACUGGAAUGAUCACUGAGUCAUCCUCUUUCUUUUACUCUGCCAUAACACCCUCAUUGCCCAUGAUACUAUCUUGUCCAGAUUCCUCAAAUCCUUUCUCGAUCUUUGUCUUCCCAAUUACUGAUGAAGUCCUUCCCCAAUGAAGUCUUGUUUCCUCCCAUCUGUCCAGUCCAUACCACAGCCCAGUUCUCUGAAUCUGUCUCUCCUCUUUCGCUUCGGGUUUGGGUUUGGCCUUGAACUCCCUCCACUUAAAGGUUUUCAUCCCUUAAAGUUCCGAUCAACAAACAUACUUACACG